GUACGCGAGUCAUUGGGCGUAGCGAACCCAAAGGCGAAAUGAAAGUGAAGGCAACCUCUUGUAGGUGGCCGUGGGAAGAUGGGCCGUCCACGGACGGCUCCGCACUCCCGGGGCGUCUCGUUCUCAUUGCGAGUUGAGGCGCACCCUGAGCGUACACGCUGGGACCCGAAAGAUGGUGAACUAUGCCUGGUCAGGACGAAGUCAGGGGAAACCCUGAUGGAGGUCCGUAGCGAUUCUGACGUGCAAAUCGAUCGUCGGAACUGGGUAUAGGGGCGAAAGACUAAUCGAACCAUCUAGUAGCUGGUUCCCUCCGAAGUUUCCCUCAGGAUAGCUGGCGCUCCCAGAGUUUCAUCUGGUAAAGCGAAUGAUUAGAGGCAUUGGGGACGAAACGUCCUCAACCUAUUCUCAAACUUUAAAUGGGUGAGAUGUUUGACCUUCUUAAACAAUGAGGUCAUUACAUUGAAUCAGAGUGCCAAGUGGGCCACUUUUGGUAAGCAGAACUGGCGCUGUGGGAUGAACCAAACGCAGAGUUAAAGCGCCUAAAUUGACGCUCAUGGGACACUAUGAAAGGCGUUGGUAACUUAAGACAGCAGGACGGUUGCCAUGGAAGUCGGAU
RNAcentral lists this ribosomal RNA (616 nucleotides) under Edaphus sp. QH36. RNAcentral's name for it is "partial large subunit ribosomal RNA". It matches the Rfam family "Eukaryotic large subunit ribosomal RNA", at positions 682 to 1266 of the family's 3401-position model. Lineage: Eukaryota; Metazoa; Arthropoda; Insecta; Coleoptera; Staphylinidae. The record is from RNAcentral.